GUUACGAUCAAAUUAUUAUUUAACAGACAAGGCGAGGACAGGUGUAUUGUUUUUGUGUGUUAUUUAUCUUAAAUGCCGGUAAAUUAUUAGACUAAUGUUUAAAAAUAAUGUGCUCACUUGGAAGGUUUUUAGUGAAGCUUGCACAGGAAGAAAACAGUAGUGAUACUGAAAACCACUGCCCCAAUACGAGCUUAAAACAAGCAUUAGCACGCUCCCCAAUUUUUGAUGGAAGUGAUUUUGAUCCCGGAUUUGAUGAAGUAGAUCUUGCUGUAUUAUUAUUAUGGUACUACUUAAGAUGGAUUACCUGUGCAUGAAGAGAUGGCUACUUCUGCAAAUGUACAGUAUUUAGAAAAUACUGAUGGGGAUAUUCUGGCUAUACAUACUAAAGAGCUUGAAGAUGAAGCUAAUGAAGAAACAACUUCAAUGGAAACGACUGUUUUAAAGGAAGUGAAUUUAUCCGUAACUAUAGAAAGUAAUGUCGCUGAACAACUUCAAACUGAUGCUGAAAAAAAUAUAUCACCCGGUAGAAAAAAGUUUAGAAAUGAGAAUAAUUGGAAAUAGCUAAAAAAUUGGAAGUUAAAAUAGCUAAAAAAAGAAGAAAUACAGGUCAAGAAUAUACGUCUUACACUACCAAAAAAAUUGUUAAGGCUAGAAAAAUCAAAGAAAGUUGUGUAAAGAAAAAAUGUCGAAUGGAAUGUUACCAGAAGAUUUCAGAAGAUCAGCGAAAAAACAUUUUUUGUAAAUUCUGAAAACUAAGAAAUCAUGAUAAACACAUGGACUUUUUAUCAAAGCACGUUAAAAAAUGCAAAAGAAGGCAGAAACAGUGAAAACAAAUUCAAGACGUCAAUUUAUAAUGGAGUAUUAUUUUACAGUGGAUGAACUCAUCAUUAAAGUAUGCAAAACUUUUUUUUUAAACACGCUCAGUAUUACUGACAUCUGGAUAAGAACUGUAAUGCUUAAGUUAGAUAGAAACACGAUUGGAAUAGGAAGUCCAGAUGGCAGAGGCAGAGUCACAAGUACAGAUCUAAAAGUUGAAGCUACCAGGAAAUUUAUAAGGCAGCACAUUGAGUGUCUUCCCAUAACCGAGUCACAUUAUAUACGUAAGUAAGGUCAAAUCGUACAUACCUACAAGUUGAUAUACAGUCCAUAGCACAGAUGUAUAGACUGUACUUAGAAUGGGCCAAGGAAAAAAUAUUAGUCCGAUUGCUACUUGCAGACAGUAUCGGUAUGUCUUUGAGCAUGAGUUUAAUAUAGGGUUUUUUUUACCAAAAAAAGACCAGUGCGAGGUUUGCGAUAAGUUUUUAUUGGCAGAUGACGGCAAAAGAGAAGAACUCGAAGAAGAAAAAAGAAGACACCAAGCCAACAAAGACGCCGUAAGAAAAUUAAAGGAAAAGGACAAGGAGCAGACAAAAGAUGAUAAAUCAUUAAUUAACGUCGCCUGUUAUGAUUUACAAAAAAUUUUAGUUACCCCACACAAAGAUGUCAGCAUUUUUUAUUACAAAUUAAAAUAUACUACGUAUAAUUUAACGAUUUUUGAAGUUGGAAAUAUUAAAGGGCAUUGCUAUCUCUGGCACGAGACAAUUGCAAAACGAGGAGCUAAUGAAAUUGGAAGUUUUGUGUUGGAUUACAUUAAAAAUUAAAAACAGAAUGGUGUCGAUACUUUUGUGUUUUACACAGAUAAUUGCGCUGGUCAAAACAGGAAUCGGUUUGUUUAUGCCAUGUAUGUGUACGCAGCGGAAAAAUAUAGCGUAAAUAUUACACACCGUUUACUGGAAAAAGGCCAUACGCAGAACGAGGGAAACAGUGUCCAUGCUCUUAUAGAGCGACAGAAAAAGGGUAAAGUAAUUUACACACCAGAGCAGUGGAUUAUGCUUAUAAAAAUGGCAAAAGUUACAGGUGAACCAUAUAUUGUUAUAGAAGUCAGUCAAGAUAUGGUUUAUGACUUAAAGGGACUAGUAACACCCGAAAGAAACUGGAAAACAGAUCAAAAUGAAAAAACUAUAAGAUAGAAUGAUAUAAAAGAAAUUGAAAUAUUAUCUGACGACCCUUUGCAAAUAAAAAUUAAAUAUGAUUUUGUCGAUGAGAAUAACCAUUGCUUGCUAGAUUUAAAGAAGAAAACCAUUAGUAAGAGAAUGAAACUAAAGUUAAGUUGCCAAAACAAGGGAUUAGGCAAGGCUUAUGAAGGCCCACUUAAAAUCUCCAAUAAAAAGUUCGAUCAUUUACAAUUCCUAUGCAAAAAUGGGAUCCCCGAUUUAUAUCAUAAUUUUUACCAAAACCUUCCCCAUGGAGAUAAUGAGGAAAAUGAAGAUUCUGACUGAAAAUUUAUUCCACUUCUGUCGAAAAAGUAGUUGAUUUUUAUGUUCAUUUAUUUAUUUGUAUUUUCUAAAAUAAAUAUUUUUUCUCUUUA
RNAcentral lists this long non-coding RNA (2407 nucleotides) under Anthonomus grandis grandis. Its description in RNAcentral is "uncharacterized LOC126739933". The record is from RNAcentral. Lineage: Eukaryota; Metazoa; Arthropoda; Insecta; Coleoptera; Curculionidae.